This 702-nucleotide long non-coding RNA is filed under the name Chrysemys picta bellii (western painted turtle). Its description in RNAcentral is "lncRNA (ENSCPBG00000027815.1)". Lineage: Eukaryota; Metazoa; Chordata; Testudines; Emydidae. The record is from RNAcentral.
AUGCUAGUGAAAGACUCUCGAUCUGCCAGGAUUCUUUCUGGAUACUUAACCAUGAAUUUUACGUCUCUGCAGCAGCUAACUUCAGCCCAAAAUAUCCCUGGGCAGGCUGAAGGAAUUAAAACCAGUCGAUAUUUCAUGGGCUCAUUCCAGCUGGUGAAUGAAAUCUACUAUUCCCGUCACAGCAACUCUGCUUCGGACACAUUCAAGAGGGAGGCUGCGAAGCUGGAGAACGUGAUCGCUGGUGCGUUUGGUAGGAGUGCCCUGAACAAGAGCUACCAGGGCUUGGCUGUGCUGGCAUUGAGCCCAAGUCCCUUCACGGAGCACUUCAGGCUGCAGUUCAGUGGCACUGAAACGUCAGCGAGGCUCAGCAAUGCCGUGGUGGCGCACGAAUUGGCACAAGAGUACCAGGGCGCAGGGGACAAAGUCGAAAUGUCCAUGGACGUUGGCAGCUUGCUGGUGAGAGCUGCACCCCCGGCACUUGCCUGGCGUGUAACAUCCACUGCUAGCUCUCCUCAUCUGACCAAGGACCGAGCAACAUGUGACCAGAAUUCUCCAUCUGUAAAGCCAGGGCAUGAGGUACUUGUCCUUCUGCCUCCGCCAUCACCAUCCAUCACUGCCAAUAUAAAUGGCAGCUGGAGGAGCCUGUGCGUGCCCAGGAAAGAGAGCUGCUUUUCAUUGAAAGAAUCAUUCCAUCCACGAUAA